AAUCUUUUCAAAAUACAUAAAGCCAUGUCACACACAGGCAGAGGCUCAUUCAGCGUGAGGCGAUGGAAAUUUCUAUCAGUUCACAAUGACUGAGGAACCCCUAUGUGAAAAGUGGCAUGUCUGUCGUCCAACCACGUUAGCCCUGYUCAUGUAUGUACAGGAAUGUUGCGCUAAGUGCUCCACCACAUUGUGUGGUGCGUGGUGUUAUGAUUGCUGUCUGCGGGGGGAUCUAUGUGUGUCAGCCAUGAGAAACGUUUGUGUGAAUCAUCCAUUGCUGCCUUGGGAAUUUGGUAAUGGAUACAAGCACAUACAAUUUUCUAAUGAUACAUAUGUAUUCACUCGCAGCACACCAUACACUGCACACGUAAACCGUUGAUGUGGGAGCCUCCGCGACAAUACAUGAAUGAGGCUCUUCUACUACUCUAUUCAUAUGYGAAACCUAUUCCUCUAAAUAUGAAGCAUCACUGCACAGCCUGUUCAUCAGCUGUGUGGUGUUGUGGAGAUUAACGUUAAGACAACUUUCAACAAUGGAUAUCUAGGCUCUCAGAUCGAUGAAGAACGCAGCGAAAUGCGAUACGUAGUGUGAAUUGCAGAAAUACGUGAAUCAUCAAAUCUUUGAACGCAAAUUGCGCUCGAGGCUUCGGCCAAGAGCAUGCCUGCCUCAGCGUCGGGUUACUGUUACAUCACCAAAGAUCUGAUGUCCUAGCAGGACUCGGUGAAGGGUGGAUCUGGCUUUCUCCGUGUGGCGUCUUGGUCUUCUGAUGGGAAGCACCCUCCUCAUCACAMCACAUGUGUUGUGGUGCCGAGGUACUCUCUAUCUACUAGACUAUUACGUGCGGAGUCAGCUGAAACAAAUGUUGAGAAGCAAUACUACUUGUCUGCGCACAUAUGCUACCUCUACAUAUGUGUACACAUAGAUAGUUGCCAUGGACCAGUUCAAUCAUGGUUCUUCAAAACAACAUGAUGAAGCCGGGGGCCUCUACUGGGUAGGCAAACUUGUUURCUGUGAAUGCUUUAGUAGAUGGCACAUUUCCAUGCGCUCCCAUCAUUCAAAUAUGUGUAUUCAUGAAAUGUUCAGAAAGCUGUGCACGGAGCGUGUGAGCCCCCGGCUCACACACAAGUGUCUUCUUCAUAUACARUUCUAUACAGGAAAACCUUUGAACAACACCUCGACCUGAGCUCAGGCAAGA
This 1190-nucleotide small RNA is filed under the name Volvox aureus. RNAcentral describes it as "eukaryotic LSU rRNA". The stretch from base 517 to 670 matches the Rfam family "5.8S ribosomal RNA". The record is from RNAcentral. Lineage: Eukaryota; Viridiplantae; Chlorophyta; Chlorophyceae; Chlamydomonadales; Volvocaceae.